Molecule: small nuclear RNA, 104 nt
Filed under: Zalophus californianus (California sea lion)
Lineage: Eukaryota; Metazoa; Chordata; Mammalia; Carnivora; Otariidae
Source: RNAcentral
CUGCUCACCUUCACAGCACAUAUACUAAAAUUGGAACAAUACAGAGAUUAGUGUGGCCCCUGCACAAGGAUGACACACAAAUUUAUGAAGCAUUUCAUAUUAAA